AGAGUUUGAUCAUGGCUCAGGAUGAACGCUGGCGGCGUGCUUAACACAUGCAAGUCGAACGAUGAAAGCGGGAGCUUGCUCCUGCUGGAUUAGUGGCGAACGGGUGAGUAACACGUGAGUAACCUGCCCUUGACUCUGGGAUAAGCGUUGGAAACGACGUCUAAUACCGGAUACGACCUUCGGAGGCAUCUCCUGGGGGUGGAAAGAAUUUCGGUCAAGGAUGGACUCGCGGCCUAUCAGCUAGUUGGUGAGGUAAUGGCUCACCAAGGCGACGACGGGUAGCCGGCCUGAGAGGGUGACCGGCCACACUGGGACUGAGACACGGCCCAGACUCCUACGGGAGGCAGCAGUGGGGAAUAUUGCACAAUGGGCGCAAGCCUGAUGCAGCAACGCCGCGUGAGGGACGACGGCCUUCGGGUUGUAAACCUCUUUAGUAGGGAAGAAGCGAAAGUGACGGUACCUGCAGAAAAAGCACCGGCUAACUACGUG
RNAcentral lists this ribosomal RNA (489 nucleotides) under uncultured bacterium. Its description in RNAcentral is "bacterial SSU rRNA". It matches the Rfam family "Bacterial small subunit ribosomal RNA", at positions 8 to 507 of the family's 1533-position model. The record is from RNAcentral.